GGAGAGAGCAAGAGAGAGUAGUGAUGAGGGAGAGAAUGGUUAUCAGGGAAAGAAGAAGAAACUGAAAAAGGAGAGGAGAGGCAAAGGCAAACAGAAAAAAAGGAGUGAAGAAAAAUGGAGGGAAGUCUUAAGUAAAGUAUUAUAGGAGAAUUUGAAUGCAACCAGGAGCCUAAGUCAGUUUGCUUCUGAUAGGAACAGAGGAGGCCCUCGCCCCGCCCUUUUAUCACCCAAAUUUCUUCUUCUUCCUCUCCUUAUCGGACCUUGCAGAGAGAGGGAAAGGGCAAUCCUCCCUGAGAUAUGAGCCCACACAAAGAGAACAACCAACACAAAAAGACAUGAAAGAGGAGGAGCACAUCAAUAAAUUCAUAUAAAAAUUCAUACAAAAAAAAACAUUGGCAACUGAGGCUGAACAGCCCUUCACAGGAACCAAAGACACAGGCCCAUCGGAUUUGGAAUAUUGGAACGGGUUUGGGAUGAACGCUGGACAUUCAGGCUCAAGGAAACGGAUUAACGCUGGAUUGAGUGGCUUCCUCUUGGCCAACAGACCGCUCACAGCUCUCCUCUGACAGAUUACAUUCAUUUAAUUCAACAAUGGCCCACACACAGGUGAAACAGGAGCCACAUGACCUCCCCAGACUGCCCUGUGUGGCCAGUGUGAAACUCAGUGGAGAUCAAAAUGGCCAAUCAGCUCGGGCAAGAUCGGCCAGACAAAAAGCCUUCUGAGUUCCGGAUAGUAUUUCAGAGUUUUUUUUUUUUCCCCCUCCGUUUC
Long non-coding RNA from Anguilla anguilla (European eel), 769 nucleotides. RefSeq lists it as uncharacterized. The record is from RefSeq and is a predicted model, not a curated record. The transcript is spliced from 4 exons. Lineage: Eukaryota; Metazoa; Chordata; Actinopteri; Anguilliformes; Anguillidae.